This 685-nucleotide ribosomal RNA is filed under the name halophilic archaeon. Its description in RNAcentral is "bacterial SSU rRNA". It matches the Rfam family "Archaeal small subunit ribosomal RNA", at positions 114 to 798 of the family's 1478-position model. Lineage: Archaea; Methanobacteriati; Methanobacteriota; Halobacteria; Halobacteriales. The record is from RNAcentral.
CUAUAGACGGCGAUAACCUCGGGAAACUGAGGCUAAUAGCCGAUACAGUUCACUACCUGGAGUGGUGUGAACUCGAAACGUUCAGGCGCUAUAGGAUGUGGCUGCGGCCGAUUAGGUAGACGGUGGGGUAACGGCCCACCGUGCCUAUAAUCGGUACGGGUUGUGAGAGCAAGAGCCCGGAGACGGUAUCUGAGACAAGAUACCGGGCCCUACGGGGCGCAGCAGGCGCGAAACCUUUACACUGCACGCGAGUGCGAUAAGGGGACUCCAAGUGCGAGGGCAUAUAGUCCUCGCUUUUCACCACCGUAAGGAGGUGGUAGAAUAAGUGCUGGGCAAGACCGGUGCCAGCCGCCGCGGUAAUACCGGCAGCACGAGUGAUGACCGCUAUUAUUGGGCCUAAAGCGUCCGUAGCUGGCCACGCAAGUCUAUCGGGAAAUCUGCGCGCUUAACGCGCAGGCGUCCGGUGGAAACUGUGUGGCUUGGGACCGGAAGACCAGAGGGGUACGUCCGGGGUAGGAGUGAAAUCCCGUAAUCCUGGACGGACCACCGGUGGCGAAAGCGCCUCUGGAAGACGGAUCCGACGGUGAGGGACGAAAGCUCGGGUCACGAACCGGAUUAGAUACCCGGGUAGUCCGAGCUGUAAACGAUGUCUGCUAGGUGUGGCACAGGCUACGAGCCUGUGCUG